Molecule: unclassified non-coding RNA, 147 nt
Filed under: soil metagenome
Description: partial internal transcribed spacer 1
Source: RNAcentral
CCGAGUUUACAACUCCCAAACCCCUGUGAACAUGCCACUUGUUGCCUCGGCGGAUCAGCCCGCUCCCGGUAAAACGGGACGGCCCGCCAGAGGACCCCUAAACUCUGUUUCUAUAUGUAACUUCUGAGUAAAACCAUAAAUAAAUCA